AGUGAACGCUGGCGGCGUGCUUAACACAUGCAAGUCGAACGAGAACGGAUUAUAGCUUGCUAUAAUUGUCAGCUAAGUGGCGCACGGGUGAGUAAUAUAUAGGUAACAUGCCCUUUACAAAGAAAUAACAGUUGGAAACGACUGCUAAUGUCUUAUAUGCCUCUAAUACAUAAGUAUGCGAGGGAAAGAUUUAUCGGUAAAGGAUUGGCCUGUACGGUAUCAGCUAGUUGGUGAGGUAAAAGCUCACCAAGGCAAUGACGCCUAACUGGUUUGAGAGGAUGAUCAGUCACACUGGAACUGAGACACGGUCCAGACUCCUACGGGAGGCAGCAGUGGGGAAUAUUGCACAAUGGGGGAAACCCUGAUGCAGCAACGCCGCGUGGAGGAUGACACAUUUUCGGUGCGUAAACUCCUUUUAUAUAGGAAGAUAAUGACGGUACUAUAUGAAUAAGCGCCGGCUAAC
Molecule: ribosomal RNA, 463 nt
Filed under: uncultured bacterium
Lineage: Bacteria
Description: bacterial SSU rRNA
Rfam family: Bacterial small subunit ribosomal RNA
Source: RNAcentral